RNAcentral lists this signal recognition particle RNA (272 nucleotides) under Acidimicrobiia bacterium. Its description in RNAcentral is "signal recognition particle sRNA large type". It matches the Rfam family "Bacterial large signal recognition particle RNA". Rfam says of the family: The signal recognition particle (SRP) is a universally conserved ribonucleoprotein involved in the co-translational targeting of proteins to membranes. Archaeal SRP consists of a 7S RNA and homologues of the eukaryotic SRP19 and SRP54 proteins. Lineage: Bacteria; Bacillati; Actinomycetota; Acidimicrobiia. The record is from RNAcentral.
CCGUGCUAGGUGGGGCGCUAGGGGUGCCCUCAACCCGAAAUCCUCUUCAUGCGGGACCGAAUCCCCGCCCGAGAGCUGGUAAGCCCCCAGGGCCGGUCCCGGGUACGUGGCGUUGAUCGUCAGGUCCUGCGCGGCGGUGCGAUCGUGAAUCGGGUCAGGUCCGGAAGGAAGCAGCCCUAAGCGACUCGCACCGGGUGCAGCAGGGUCGCUUGACGGGAGCCGGCGACCCGGGACCGCGCUGGGGAAAUCCGCCCGAAGGCGGGGGCGCACGG